Molecule: RNA transcript, 4789 nt
Organism: Mizuhopecten yessoensis (Yesso scallop)
Lineage: Eukaryota; Metazoa; Mollusca; Bivalvia; Pectinida; Pectinidae
Gene name: inosine triphosphate pyrophosphatase-like
Exons: 6
Source: RefSeq, a predicted model, not a curated record
UAAAUAAUUCUCUGACCUACGACCCUCUAUAUUGUCUUGUAGGUUACGUGUGAUAGAAUAGAAAUAGCUGUUGAGUAAUAAUCUCUUAAGCAGACACUAUAAAAAAGGGACGAUUAUAAAAGUUACAGAGUACCAGCGUAACGUGUUAUAUCUUCGACAGGAAAGAGGCAUCAACUUCCAUGCACAAUUAAUAUAGCAAUUAAUUACACACAAUUCCCCCCAACUUUGGGACAGGUGAUGUGAAAUAGUCCUGAGACUGAUCGCAAGAUUGUCUCUGGUAAAUGUAUACAGCUCCUCUGCAUUUAUUAUCUAUCCCUUUCUGCUUUUAACAAAUUGUUCAGCAGCUUUUUUUUAACAAUGUAAAUGAAAUAAAGGAAUCAUAUAUUCCAUUUGGCCAUGGAGAGAAACCCUUCCCAAUUAAUCGAUCUUCUGAGUAAAAUCCAAUUAUAGUUGGGUGAUGUAGGGAUCUUAAAUAAGUUCUAUGAGAGUUUGUUAGUUGUUUUCAGUACAUGUAUUUUAAGAAAUGACAAAAAUGCAGGAAUAAACCAGAGCCAAUUGGGGGGUCCAGUAGGCUUCCUGUUACCGCAGAAGCAGAUAAUAACAUGAUAUCGCAAAAUAUAGAUAAAUGUACUAGUGAAAAAUGAAUAAAAUACAACAGAAAACAAAGACUAGUACUGCACCACUUCGACUUUACAGCGAUAGGUAUUUAAAGUUGUUCCGAGCAUGCGCAGAAAUAAAUACGAAAUUAAGCAUAAAAUGAUAUUACAGAGGUGCAAUGUGCCACAUUCGUCUCGAGAUCGUUUCGAUUAUCCAUUCAUUUUUAUCCGCGUAGAUUUUUGACGGGGGACCGGACGUAACAAUUUAGACACCAAGUGUUACGUCUUCGCACAAACAUCUUAAUUGGGAGUUUUCUGUACAAAGUCCAUUUUCUGUAAAUGUUGUGAUUCACUUAUUUAAAAGUUAAAAACUGUUAAAACAAUUUCUUGUCAUGCAUGGUCACAUAAUAUAUCGAUACUAAAAGCACGGAAUUAGAUUGCUAUCUAGGUCCAUGCUAAAAGCUUCGAAAUUCUAAACUUAAAAUUUACUACCCAGUCACGGAAACGAAAAGAAAUACCUGUAAUCGCGACGACACCAGAUGUGUAUUUUUUGCUAACAGACUCGUAUAACAUUAAAAAUAAUCCAAGUAGGCCUAAAAAAUGUCCAUGUAGAUGCAGUUCUAGUUUAAAGUGAAAUAAUACACCAUUGAUUAUUCAUGCAUGGAUAUUAUUGCAUGAAUAAUCAAUAAAUGCAUGGAUAUUAUUGCAUAGAAAACGGACGUAACAAAUUAGCAUCAGGCUUGAUCAAGCUUUUUAAAUCAUCAGAUUAUCAAAAUAUUUAUUCCAAAUGUCUUUCUUUGAAAUUAUUAUAGACGUUAAAAACUGCUAAACGAUUUCAUUGUUGAGAUACUGAAAUAUCUUAAUAUGUCUGGAUCGGCAUCUUGGUCCGGGUCUGGGUCCGGCGUACAAGCAUUACAGGUGAUCUUCGAUUACCUGUCUCUCCGCUAGGCAGCGCUCUUUGAUACUUUCAGUUUGCGUAUGAAUUUCAAGUUAGUGGGGCUCAGAAAAAACGUAAACCAACCAAUCCGUUUUCACAUUUAUUCGAACAAGAACCUUGCAGACGAUCAGAAGGUGUGCACAUUCUACAUGAUUGCUAUACUGACAAGGACAUCAACCAAACUGCUGUCCCACACUGAUGUAUUAGUCAGGUCUUCAUCUUUGAGGUUAAAACGAAGUGUUUUAUCCAGCAACUUGUUGUACAAGGGAAGAGGCAUUAAACAUUUCCAUUUAUCUACUCGCAGUAUGUCAUCAGGUAACAAAAAGCACAAAAUGGACGGAGACGGACAGCAGUCUAUUACCUUGGUAACUGGAAACCAGAAAAAGUUGGAGGAAUUUAUACACAUCCUGGGAAACGAUUUUAAAUUCAAGGUAAUCAGUAAGGACAUUGACCUGCCGGAGUACCAGGGAGAGCCAGAAGAGGUAGCCAGAUUGAAGUGUCGCAUGGCAGCCGAGCACAUCCAGGGCCCAGUCCUGAUCGAGGAUACCAGUCUGUGCUUUAACGCUCUAGGGGGUAUGCCUGGCCCCUACAUUAAGUGGUUUCUAAAGAGCGUGGGACCAGAAGGUCUACACAAGAUGCUAGCAGGAUUUGAAGACAAGACCGCCGAUGCUAUGUGUAUUGUUGCCUACAGUGAUGGACAUAAGGACUCUGAGGUUCAGCUGUUUAUUGGUAAAACAGAAGGGACAAUAGUGGACCCCAGAGGUCCACGCGACUUUGGCUGGGACCCCUGUUUCCAGCCAACUGGCUUUGAACAGACCUAUGCUGAACUGCCCAAAUCUACCAAGAACACCAUAUCCCACAGAUACCGAGCGGUGGACAAAUUCAAAUCUCAUUUCAUGAGCCUCGAUGACCUAAACUCAGGAAAGAAUACAAGUUCAUGAUAUUUAUUAAAUGAAGUUGAGUAAAGUGACUUGGUAUUUGUAAUACAAUAAGUCUACCACCAGUUACCAUCGGUACUGUUGCUUUGCAUUCCCUCUGUCUGUCCGUCAGUAAUCCGUUCAUCCACAUUGUUUGUCUAAGAGAAAUCAUUAACACUAUUUCACCUGGAAUAUUGGGAUGGCUGAUGCAGAGUCUGAGAAGUAAGUCACUGUGACCUGUGCUUUGACCUUUGAUCUUAACCUUUAAAUGGUAUUUUUCACUGCUUGUACAAAGUUAUCUAGUCGGACUCCGUAUGGAAUUUUUAAUAGCAAAAUCUAUACAGAUUUUCUCUCUCCUUUUCUCUUUACAAAAUUUAAGUCGUAUUUUAAAAGAUCCUGUGGGAAAAAGUGGAAAUCUUAAAGGAAAACAGGGGUGUCAUAUUUAAAUGAACAGGGUCGGACUUUCCAUAAAUGGAAAAUCUGCUUAAGAAAUAAACACAGUUGACAUUUAGUGAAAAGUACUGUAUUCGGAAUUCAAGGCAGCAUAAGUUCUGAUUCUGUACAAUGGGAAACCGACUUACUUCUUCAGACGGAAUCCCAGUCAAUUAUUAUAGGACCUUUAGAUAUAUUCUGAUCAUAAGACAGGAAAUGCAAUUGGAAUUUCGUCCAUACCUUAAACUGAUUCAAUUAUCUAUUAAACAUUGAGCUAUUACUUUAAUCAGAAUCCAUGUUUUCCAUGGGAUAAACCCAUUCCAUAGAAAUAUUCAAGGACAUAAUGGAAAUUUUCUGCAAAAACACUACAUACAGAUGUCUUUAAUGCCCGUUGAUGAAAAAAAAGGUAAUUAACUCUGUCAAAAUUUUCGAUGUCAUAAUUCAAUAUUGGAAUAAACAAUUACAUAAAUUGACUAAAACGCAAAACUUUCAAGAAGAUUGGAUAAAAAGACCUGAAAGAUCAGAUAUCCAGACAGGAUAGAAAUGCUGACAAAAGGAUGAUUACUCUUUCAAAAAUCAAAAUUCCAAAAGUGAAAGCACCUUGGGGUCAUAACAAUAUAGCUGCCUACCAGUUUCUAGGAAGGUAAGAUGUCCAGGAAGGUGAGAUGGAAACUGGUGACAUGCUAAGUAAUACUAAUCAAUUUGACAUCCUUAAACUUCAUAUUUUGGUGCUCUAGUUUCAGAAUGUACUUAAUUUCUUAAAACUGCUCUGACUAACCUAUGUCACUUAACUGCCUGUCUGGCUAUGUCGAAGACCCGGUGGUAUUGGCAAACUAAGUGAACUUUAACUUCCUAUCGUGAUGGAACAAUGAGCUUAAAAUAUGCAUUACCGGAGUAACUACUCUGGAGAUAGAUGCUAUAUUGUUUUCUAUUUGUAGUUCUUUCUUUUCACAAGGAUGUUUUAACAGUUGAACAUUUCCAACUCCCUCUUUAAGGUAACGGGACGAUUGUAAGCACAUGUAGUGCUGGUGUUUCAAAAGAUGUCAUCAUGUACACAUUGUUAUUGUUUUUAAAGUCUAUCUGAAAAGUAGGUUACCCUACUCCUGAUUUGCAACCAUAAUUGCCCCUUAUUGUCUUAGACACAUUCAAAACUUGCUGCACCCUUUGACUCAGAAGUUAAGGUUCCUUCAAACGUCAUACUUUUAGAACUGCCAUUUUGAAUUUAAACUGUUUACCGGAUUUUUUUUGCCACAAUUAAACUUUCGCCUUUUCCCAGACCAUAGUCAGGACAGAUUUAUUACUACACCAAACAUUAGAAAACAACACAAUCAAAAUAGCAAUCAAAUUUAAACUAGGUGAAUACAAAUCUCAUCAGUGUAGGGCGACAGCUGGACUAAGCGAAUACAAAUCUCAUCAGUGUAGAGCGACAGUCGGACUAGGCGAAUACAAACCUCAUCAGUGUAGGGCGACAGUCUGACUAGGCGAAUACAAAUCUCAUCAGUGUAGGGGGACAGUCGGACUAGGCGAAUACAAACCUCAUCAGUGUAGGGCGACAGUCGGGCUAGGCGAAUACAAAUCUCAUCUGUGUAGGGCGACAGUUGGACUAGGCAAAUACAAAUCUCAUCAGUGUAGGGCAUCAGUUGGACUAGGUGAAAGUGUCCCUGUAUGUAGUAUGCUAUUGGGCACAAAUAGUGUUCCAGGGACUAGGGGCGUUAAGGGUCAUUUUCGGCCUCAUCGGGGAUUUGAAUUAGUUGCUAUAUUCGCGAAUUCGUAAUCUGGAAUAAAUGAAGUACGCAAAUAUGAAAUUUCAAAUUUAUUCGACAACUGGUUUAGGAGAUAUGGCAUUACAAACAGAGACAUGUGAUAAACCGGCGUUUUCAUAAUAAAAUGUGUGAAUAUCGUCUGUU